RNAcentral lists this long non-coding RNA (203 nucleotides) under Ricinus communis (castor bean). RNAcentral's name for it is "long non-coding RNA (RCOM_LNC003322)". The record is from RNAcentral. Lineage: Eukaryota; Viridiplantae; Streptophyta; Magnoliopsida; Malpighiales; Euphorbiaceae.
AAAAAAAAAAAAUUAAAUAACGUUAAAAACAAAAGGCAUAAAAGUAAAAAUAAGAAACAUAAUGUAUAAAAAUAAAGAGUAAACAAAAAAACAUGUAAGGUGUAAUUUUCUCUAUAUUUAAUAAAUAAAAUAUAUCAAAACUAGUUAUAUAUGUGUUUACACUUAAUUUUAGUAUGCAGAGUGCAUUAAAUUUGGGGACGUCC